ACAAGCGGUGGAGUAUGUGGUUUAAUUCGACGCAACGCGCAGAACCUUACCUAGACUUGACAUCCCGGGGAUUUUCUGGAAACAGAGAAGUGCUUUAGCAAUAAAGAACCCGGUGACAGGUGCUGCAUGGCUGUCGUCAGCUCGUGUCGUGAGAUGUUGGGUUAAGUCCCGCAACGAGCGCAACCCUCGCCUUUAGUUGCCAGCAUUCAGUUGGGCACUCUAGAGGGACUGCCGGUGUCAAACCGGAGGAAGGUGGGGAUGACGUCAAGUCCUCAUGGCCUUUAUGACCAGGGCUACACACGUACUACAAUGGCCGGUACAAAGGGCAGCGACACAGCGAUGUGAAGCGAAUCCCGAAAAGCCGGUCUCAGUCCGGAUUGGAGUCUGCAACUCGACUCCAUGAAGUUGGAAUCGCUAGUAAUCGCGGAUCAGCACGCCGCGGUGAAUACGUUCCCGGGCCUU
Molecule: ribosomal RNA, 462 nt
Filed under: uncultured Desulfovibrio sp.
Lineage: Bacteria; Pseudomonadati; Thermodesulfobacteriota; Desulfovibrionia; Desulfovibrionales; Desulfovibrionaceae
Description: bacterial SSU rRNA
Rfam family: Bacterial small subunit ribosomal RNA
Source: RNAcentral